RNAcentral lists this ribosomal RNA (591 nucleotides) under uncultured bacterium. Its description in RNAcentral is "bacterial SSU rRNA". It matches the Rfam family "Bacterial small subunit ribosomal RNA", at positions 224 to 806 of the family's 1533-position model. The record is from RNAcentral.
GAUGAGUCCGCGUACCAUUAGCUAGUUGGCAGGGUAAUGGCCUACCAAGGCAACGAUGGUUAGCUGGUCUGAGAGGAUGAUCAGCCACACUGGAACUGAGAUACGGUCCAGACUCCUACGGGAGGCAGCAGUGAGGAAUCUUGCGCAAUGGGGGAAACCCUGACGCAGCAACGCCGCGUGAGUGAGGAAGGUCUUCGGAUCGUAAAGCUCUGUCAGUUGGGAAGAAAUGGCUGGAGGUUAAUACCCUUUAGUCUUGACGGUACCAACAGAGGAAGCACCGGCUAACUCCGUGCCAGCAGCCGCGGUAAUACGGGGGGUGCAAGCGUUGUUCGGAAUUAUUGGGCGUAAAGAGCGUGUAGGCGGCCUGAUAUGUCAGAUGUGAAAGCUCUGGGCUUAACCCAGGAAGUGCAUUUGAAACUGUCAGGCUCGAGUAGGGGAGAGGGAAGUGGAAUUCCUGGUGUAGAGGUGAAAUUCGUAGAUAUCAGGAGGAACACCGGUGGCGAAGGCGACUUCCUGGCCCUAUACUGACGCUGAGACGCGAGAGCGUGGGUAGCAAACAGGAUUAGAUACCCUGGUAGUCCACGCCGUAAA